Molecule: non-coding RNA, 88 nt
Filed under: Octadecabacter temperatus
Lineage: Bacteria; Pseudomonadati; Pseudomonadota; Alphaproteobacteria; Rhodobacterales; Roseobacteraceae
Description: Glycine sequence
Rfam family: Glycine riboswitch aptamer
About the family: This family represents the bacterial glycine riboswitch. Glycine riboswitches usually consist of two metabolite-binding aptamers domains with similar structures in tandem.
Source: Rfam by way of RNAcentral
CUCUCGCCCGCGGGAGAGUCUGGGUUCGACCCAGCGCCGAAGGAGCAACGACCCGGAAACUCUCAGGCACACGGACCGCGGAGCGUAU